Molecule: ribosomal RNA, 237 nt
Filed under: Triticum aestivum (bread wheat)
Lineage: Eukaryota; Viridiplantae; Streptophyta; Magnoliopsida; Poales; Poaceae
Description: partial small subunit ribosomal RNA
Source: RNAcentral
AGCAAGUAGAGGCCGAUGCUGAGGUGGGAGAGCCCGUGGGGUUUGCCGGAGGGGGACAAGCAGCAGCCCAAGGCGCACCGCUGCAACGACCGCGUCGAGGAUGUCGUCCAGGCUGCCUUUGAAGGGAAUCCGUUCAAGACAGAUCCAGGUCCAUUCAAGGUCUUUUGGCAAUGCAUGCGCUCAAAACUUGGGUAUCCGCUGCUUCUCAUGAUCUCUGUUUUAAUGCUUUUGGUGUAA